Molecule: non-coding RNA, 236 nt
Organism: Pelobates cultripes (western spadefoot toad)
Lineage: Eukaryota; Metazoa; Chordata; Amphibia; Anura; Pelobatidae
Source: the annotation of a GenBank genome assembly
UUAAUGAGGUGAAGCAGAUAUAAUGUCUCUUGAAGUGGACUUAACAGUGCCAAAGAGCUUGGUGGGACCUGUGGGUGUUACAUUAUUGGUUAACACACAAAUAUCUUGUCUUGAUGGCAUGCUGGAGAGAUGAAUGACUGGCCAAUUCAUUUCUAUAUAUAUCAUCUUUGAAAAAUGAUGUAUUCAUAUCCACUUAGCCGUUACCAUUAAGUUAAACCUGUCAUAACAGGUUACAC